UGUUUUACCAAGGUGUAAGUGUGUGCGGGCACUGAGGAGCGUCCCGUCGCGUUGCGUCAAUAAAGGUGAACGGAAUAGACAAGUCCAAGGGAUCGCCAAUCAGGACCCUUUGGGUCCGCUCUGCCAGGCAACCCAAAGCAUCCAGUCGUUCAAGACCGCAGAUCUGUACCGAAAGAAGAAGGAACUGAAGAAUCUGACGAUUACGAUAAUCUCAACAGCUCUAUUUCUAGUCGGGGAGCUCCAACAGAAGGCCAAUGGUUUGCGUAGGCAGCGCUGGCGAUGAUCACCAUCCGCGCCUCCCGCAAGCGUCGGCGGAAAAUUUGAAUCGCAGAUUACGAAGAUACACGGAGAUCCACGCGGGAGGAUCUAAUGAAAAGGCGCAUAAAAACUUCAAAAAGGACAGGCAUCCUCGAAUCGUCCUCGAAUAAGCCACUUAGACAAUUAUCAUAGGCAAUCAGCCGUAAAGAGGAUAAGCCAGAGAAAUAGU
Ceratosolen solmsi marchali is the source of this 487-nucleotide long non-coding RNA. RefSeq lists it as uncharacterized. The record is from RefSeq and is a predicted model, not a curated record. The transcript has 2 exons. Lineage: Eukaryota; Metazoa; Arthropoda; Insecta; Hymenoptera; Agaonidae.